AUAUUUACCUGGCAGGCCAAGGACCAUGAUCAUGAAGCUGGUUUUCCCAAGAUUAAGCUUACCUAUUGCACUUUGGGUUUGCUGACGCCUGCGAUUUCCCCAAAUGUGGGAAACAUGACUGCAUAAUUUGUGAUAGUGGGAGGACUCCAUGCACACUCCAC
This is a small nuclear RNA of Erinaceus europaeus (western European hedgehog), 161 nucleotides long. Its record names the gene U1. It matches the Rfam family "U1 spliceosomal RNA". From Rfam's summary of the family: U1 is a small nuclear RNA (snRNA) component of the spliceosome (involved in pre-mRNA splicing). The record is from Ensembl. Lineage: Eukaryota; Metazoa; Chordata; Mammalia; Eulipotyphla; Erinaceidae.